UAAUAAUUAUUAUUAUCUUAUAUAUAAAAAUAGAUUUUAUAAUGUGUUAGUCGUGCUAAAACACGAAAACGGCUGAACGGAUUGGGCUGAUUUUAGUCUUAAAAUAUUCGGAGAAGUCCAGGGAAGGUUAUAAAGUGA
This is a long non-coding RNA of Aricia agestis (brown argus), 138 nucleotides long. RefSeq lists it as uncharacterized. Lineage: Eukaryota; Metazoa; Arthropoda; Insecta; Lepidoptera; Lycaenidae. The record is from RefSeq and is a predicted model, not a curated record. The transcript is spliced from 3 exons.